Molecule: ribosomal RNA, 464 nt
Filed under: uncultured bacterium
Lineage: Bacteria
Description: partial 16S ribosomal RNA
Rfam family: Bacterial small subunit ribosomal RNA
Source: RNAcentral
GACGAACGCUGGCGGCGUGCUUAACACAUGCAAGUCGAACGGAGAGGCCCCUUUGGGGGUACUCGAGUGGCGAACGGGUGAGUAACACGUGAGUAACCUGCCCUUGACUUCGGGAUAACUUCAGGAAACUGGGGCUAAUACCGGAUAGGAAUCCUUGCUGCAUGGUGGGGGUUGGAAAGCUUCGGCGGUUUUGGAUGGACUCGCGGCUUAUCAGCUUGUUGGUGGGGUAGUGGCUUACCAAGGCUUUGACGGGUAGCCGGCCUGAGAGGGCGACCGGCCACAUUGGGACUGAGAUACGGCCCAGACUCCUACGGGAGGCAGCAGUGGGGAAUAUUGCACAAUGGGCGGAAGCCUGAUGCAGCAACGCCGCGUGCGGGAUGACGGCCUUCGGGUUGUAAACCGCUUUCAGCAGGGGCGAAGCUUGUGGUGACGGUACCUGCAGAAGAAGCACCGGCUAACUACGU